ACCAAGGCAUUACUUAAGCAAUUAUGUACCAAAAUGGGUCGUAAUGUAUGAUUAUACAAACAUUAAAUCACAACGGUAAAAAGCCAUUUCAUAAAGCCAAAUACAUAAUCAUCAACAUGCCAAAAUGACCAUUUCUCAUUAGGCCGAAUAUACAUAGAAACAUACCAAAUCUCAACACCAAUUACAUAUCAUAAUUAAACCAUAAUCACAUUUAAUAUCAUGCCAUAUCACAUGACAAGAUUUUCACCUUUCAAAACAAAUUCCAAGAUCUCUAGUCUAUACAUGCCAUACUUUAGUAUUUACAUUUCCAAAAAAAUACCAAAAUAGAUGUCUGAUAGUGUGAUUGAGUCUCUCACGAUCCUCGGAUCCGAGCUAGCUUUAUAACACUAUAAAACAAAGAAAACUUCGCACAAUAAGCUCAGAGCUUAGUAAGUUCAUAAUAUAAUACAUUUAACUCAUUAUAAAAAAAAUACUAUAUGACAUAAUUGCUAACACAUAGUUCAACUCAAAUUACUACUCAAUAUUAUUCAUAACUAUUACUCAUUCCAUACCAUUUCUUUUAAAUCACAUACAAAUAUAUUUAUUUCUACUCAUUCCCAACUUAUUCAACCAUGUUCAUCCAUUCUUAUACUCUUGUUUCUAUUUCAUACAUAAUAACAUCAACCACAUAGGUUUUGAAUAUACAUGUACCAUCUCAUACAUAUCUGUUACAUUUACCACUUCCUCGUUCAGUGACAUCGCACACUUAGUGCCAACAAAUUCACCAAAGCUAUAAUAUAUCACACACUUAGUGCCUUUACGUUAAAUCGAAAUUUGGUUAAGUAUCGCACACUUAGUACCAAUUAUUCUGCCAACGCGGCUUUAGUCUCGCACAUUCAGUGCCAUUUUGGUAGCCGUAUAUAUAUAAUAUUUACACACUUAGUUCCGCAUAUAUUCGAUCCACAUUUCACAUUUUUAAUUUAUCAAUCCCAUUUAUAUUUAUUUCAUCUCAUUCAAAUAUUAUUUAAAACCGUGUGCAUUAUAUUCGAACUUACCUCGGACGUAGCAACGACGAGAUUAGUCGAUCAAUCGAGUACUUUGUUUUUACCUCGAUCUAGAUCCGAAUUUCUCCUCUCUUGAUCUAUAUACAUUUAAAUUCACUUAUUCAAUCUCACAUUUCAUCCACAUAAAUCCAUAAACACAUAGUUAGACUUUUUUUUAAAAUUAGUACUCAUAUUUUCACCUGUGGACAUUUUAGUCCCUAAUUCAUAAAUACACAUAAAUUCUUUGUACUCAUGCUUGGCCGAAUUUUUAUUGAGUCCUUAGCAACUCAUAUUCUUCAUUUAUUUCACAUCUAACCCCUCAAUUUCUCAUUUUCACAAUUUAACCUAUAAUGCUCAAAUUCAUUAAAAUUCAAAUACAAAAACAUAUUUAUUUAUCACAUAUCCAUCAUAUUUCAUCAACUAUCAUCACAAAACUUACAAAAUCAUCAAUGACACAUUUCAAAACCAUAAUCAAAUUUUAAAAUUGAGGCAUGGGCUUGAUAGAUUAUUGAGCAACAAUCAUAAAAAUAUAAAAAUCAUCAAAAAUGAAUCAAAACACAUACCUUAAUUAAGAAAAUUUCUAGCCGAAACCUAGCUAGCUUUUUUCUUUCUUUUCUUCCUUUGAAUUUUCGGCAAGAUGAACA
This 1666-nucleotide long non-coding RNA is filed under the name Gossypium barbadense (sea-island cotton). Its description in RNAcentral is "long non-coding RNA (GBAR_LNC015710)". Lineage: Eukaryota; Viridiplantae; Streptophyta; Magnoliopsida; Malvales; Malvaceae. The record is from RNAcentral.